This 468-nucleotide ribosomal RNA is filed under the name uncultured bacterium. RNAcentral's name for it is "partial 16S ribosomal RNA". It matches the Rfam family "Bacterial small subunit ribosomal RNA", at positions 28 to 507 of the family's 1533-position model. The record is from RNAcentral.
GACGAACGCUGGCGGCGUGCUUAACACAUGCAAGUCGAACGGAAAGGCCCUGCUUUUGUGGGGUGCUCGAGUGGCGAACGGGUGAGUAACACGUGAGUAACCUGCCCUUGACUUUGGGAUAACUUCAGGAAACUGGGGCUAAUACCGGAUAGGAGCUCCUGCUGCAUGGUGGGGGUUGGAAAGUUUCGGCGGUUGGGGAUGUACUCGCGGCUUAUCAGCUUGUUGGUGGGGUAGUGGCUUACCAAGGCUUUGACGGGUAGCCGGCCUGAGAGGGUGACCGGCCACAUUGGGACUGAGAUACGGCCCAGACUGCUACGGGAGGCAGCAGUGGGGAAUAUUGCACAAUGGGCGGAAGCCUGAUGCAGCAACGCCGCGUGCGGGAUGACGGCCUUCGGGUUGUAAACCGCUUUCGCAUGUGACGAAGCGUGAGUGACGGUAAUGGGUAAAGAAGCACCGGCUAACUACGUG